Molecule: long non-coding RNA, 364 nt
Filed under: Homo sapiens (human)
Lineage: Eukaryota; Metazoa; Chordata; Mammalia; Primates; Hominidae
Description: non-protein coding lnc-CCT5-17:1
Source: RNAcentral
CCUCAGAGAAGCACUUCCUUUCUAAGGCCCUGUACUCUUGGCCUGGGGCCUGCCUACCCCUCUUCAGCCAAGACAGAGAUCUUCAGGAACUCCUUCCUCUCCCGCACCCACCCCCACCCACAAGCUUUCCUGCAUCCUGGGUGCUUUGGCCUCCUGCCCUCCAGGCUCACUGGAGGUGGAGUUGGCUUCCUAUAACUUUACUGGGCACCUGUUCCCAGUUGCUGUGCCCUCCUACAGCACCGGGGUCUCUGCUUAAACAAUCAUCUCCCCUCUCUUCUCUCUCUUUAGCCUCUUCCUUCACCUCAUUCCUUCCCAUCGCCAUUUGAGGAUGGUUAAGUCAUGCUCUUUGAAAAGCUGUUCCCUG